RNAcentral lists this ribosomal RNA (467 nucleotides) under uncultured bacterium. Its description in RNAcentral is "partial 16S ribosomal RNA". It matches the Rfam family "Bacterial small subunit ribosomal RNA", at positions 28 to 506 of the family's 1533-position model. The record is from RNAcentral.
GACGAACGCUGGCGGCGUGCUUAACACAUGCAAGUCGAACGGAAAGGCCCUGCUUUUGUGGGGUGCUCGAGUGGCGAACGGGUGAGUAACACGUGAGUAACCUGCCCUUGACUUUGGGAUAACUUCAGGAAACUGGGGCUAAUACCGGAUAGGAGCUCCUGCUGCAUGGUGUGGGUUGGAAAGUUUCGGCGGUUGGGGAUGGACUCGCGGCUUAUCAGCUUGUUGGUGGGGUAGUGGCUUACCAAGGCUUUGACGGGUAGCCGGCCUGAGAGGGUGACGGGCCACAUUGGGACUGAGAUACGGCCCAGACUCCUACGGGAGGCAGCAGUGGGGAAUAUUGCACAAUGGGCGGAAGCCUGAUGCAGCAACGCCGCGUGCGGGAUGCCGGCCUUCGGGUUGUAAACCGCUUUCGCGUGUGACGAAGCGUGAGUGACGGUAAUGGGUAAAGAAGCACCGGCUAACUACGU